Molecule: unclassified non-coding RNA, 253 nt
Filed under: uncultured Enterobacteriaceae bacterium
Lineage: Bacteria; Pseudomonadati; Pseudomonadota; Gammaproteobacteria; Enterobacterales; Enterobacteriaceae
Description: contains 16S-23S intergenic spacer region
Rfam family: Bacterial small subunit ribosomal RNA
Source: RNAcentral
UACGUAGGUGGCAAGCGUUAAUCGGAAUUACUGGGCGUAAAGCGCACGCAGGCGGUCUGUCAAGUCGGAUGUGAAAUCCCCGGGCUCAACCGGGGAACUGCAUCCGAAACUGGCAGGCUAGAGGCGUGUAGAGGGGGGUAGAAUUCCAGGUGUAGCGGUGAAAUGCGUAGAGAUCUGGAGGAAUACCGGUGGCGAAGGCGGCCCCCUGGACGCAGACUGACGCUGAGGUGCGAAAGCGUGGGGAGCAAACAGG